CGUCAGGUAGCUCAGUGGUUUAGAGCAGUCGCCCGGCAAGCGAAAGACCCGGGUUCGAUUCCCGGUCUAGCGA
This 73-nucleotide transfer RNA is filed under the name Harpegnathos saltator (Jerdon's jumping ant). It matches the Rfam family "tRNA". From Rfam's summary of the family: Transfer RNA (tRNA) molecules are approximately 80 nucleotides in length. Their secondary structure includes four short double-helical elements and three loops (D, anti-codon, and T loops). Further hydrogen bonds mediate the characteristic L-shaped molecular structure. tRNAs have two regions of fundamental functional importance: the anti-codon, which is responsible for specific mRNA codon recognition, and the 3' end, to which the tRNAs corresponding amino acid is attached (by aminoacyl-tRNA synthetases). tRNAs cope with the degeneracy of the genetic code in two manners: having more than one tRNA (with a specific anti-codon) for a particular amino acid; and 'wobble' base-pairing, i.e. permitting non-standard base-pairing at the 3rd anti-codon position. The record is from Rfam by way of RNAcentral. Lineage: Eukaryota; Metazoa; Arthropoda; Insecta; Hymenoptera; Formicidae.